CAUGGAGAGUUUGAUCCUGGCUCAGGACGAACGCUGGCGGCGGGCUUAACACAUGCAAGUCGCGGGAGAAGUUGCCCUUCGGGGCAACGGAGACCGGCGGAUGGGUGAGUAACGCGUAGGUAAUCUGCCGUUAGGACUGGGAUAACCCACCGAAAGGUGAGCUAAUACCGGAUGAUGCAGCG
Molecule: ribosomal RNA, 182 nt
Filed under: Fodinibius salipaludis
Lineage: Bacteria; Pseudomonadati; Balneolota; Balneolia; Balneolales; Balneolaceae
Description: Aliifodinibius sp. WN023 partial 16S ribosomal RNA
Rfam family: Bacterial small subunit ribosomal RNA
Source: RNAcentral